RNAcentral lists this transfer RNA (67 nucleotides) under Acerbas sarala chinensis. Its description in RNAcentral is "tRNA-Leu". The record is from RNAcentral. Lineage: Eukaryota; Metazoa; Arthropoda; Insecta; Lepidoptera; Hesperiidae.
UCUAAUAUGACAGAUUAUAUGUAAUGGAUUUAAACCCCACUUAUAAAGGUUUAUCCUUUUUUUAGAA